UUCCACCUACGGGGCGCAGCAGUGAGGAAUAUUGGUCAAUGGACGCAAGUCUGAACCAGCCAUGCCGCGUGCAGGAUGACGGCUCUAUGAGUUGUAAACUGCUUUUGUACGAGGGUAAACCCCGAUACGUGUAUCGGGUUGAAAGUAUCGUACGAAUAAGGAUCGGCUAACUCCGUGCCAGCAGCCGCGGUAAUACGGAGGAUCCGAGCGUUAUCCGGAUUUAUUGGGUUUAAAGGGUGCGCAGGCGGCACGGCAAGCCGGCGGUCAAAUCGCGGGGCUCAACCCCGCCCAGCCGUCGGAACUGC
RNAcentral lists this ribosomal RNA (305 nucleotides) under uncultured bacterium. RNAcentral's name for it is "bacterial SSU rRNA". It matches the Rfam family "Bacterial small subunit ribosomal RNA", at positions 333 to 636 of the family's 1533-position model. The record is from RNAcentral.